This 301-nucleotide ribosomal RNA is filed under the name uncultured bacterium. RNAcentral's name for it is "partial 16S ribosomal RNA". It matches the Rfam family "Bacterial small subunit ribosomal RNA", at positions 509 to 807 of the family's 1533-position model. The record is from RNAcentral.
CAGUCGCCGCGGGAACACGUAGGGUGCGAGCGUUAAUCGGAAUUACUGGGCGUAAAGCGUGCGCAGGCGGUUAUAUAAGACAGAUGUGAAAUCCCCGGGCUCAACCUGGGACCUGCAUUUGUGACUGUAUAGCUAGAGUACGGUAGAGGGGGAUGGAAUUCCGCGUGUAGCAGUGAAAUGCGUAGAUAUGCGGAGGAACACCGAUGGCGAAGGCAAUCCCCUGGACCUGUACUGACGCUCAUGCACGAAAGCGUGGGGAGCAAACAGGAUUAGAUACCCCGGUAGUCCCUGUCUCUUAUAC